AUACGAGGGGUGCAAGCGUUAAUCGGAAUUACUGGGCGUAAAGCGUACGCAGGCGGUUUGUUAAGCGAGAUGUGAAAGCCCCGGGCUCAACCUGGGAACUGCAUUUCGAACUGGCAGACUAGAGUAUGAUAGAGGGUGGUAGAAUUUCAGGUGUAGCGGUGAAAUGCGUAGAGAUCUGAAGGAAUACCGAUGGCGAAGGCAGCCACCUGGGUCAAUACUGACGCUCAUGUACGAAAGCGUGGGGAGCAAACGGAAUUAGAAACCCGAGUAGUCC
RNAcentral lists this ribosomal RNA (274 nucleotides) under uncultured bacterium. RNAcentral describes it as "partial 16S ribosomal RNA". It matches the Rfam family "Bacterial small subunit ribosomal RNA", at positions 523 to 796 of the family's 1533-position model. The record is from RNAcentral.